GACGUAGGGCGCAAGCGUUGUCCGGAUUUAUUGGGCGUAAAGAGCUCGUAGGCGGCUUGUCGCGUCGACUGUGAAAACCCGUGGCUCAACCAUGUGGUCUGCAGUCGAUACGGGCAGGCUAGAAUUCGGUAGGGGAGACUGGAAUUCCUGGUGUAGCGGUGAAAUGCGUAGAGAUCUGGAGGAACACCGAUGGCGAAGGCAGCCUUCUGGGCCAACACUGACGCUCAUGCACGAAAGCGUGGGGAGCAAACAGG
This 254-nucleotide ribosomal RNA is filed under the name uncultured bacterium. Its description in RNAcentral is "partial 16S ribosomal RNA". It matches the Rfam family "Bacterial small subunit ribosomal RNA", at positions 524 to 776 of the family's 1533-position model. The record is from RNAcentral.